This is a long non-coding RNA of Sphaeramia orbicularis (orbiculate cardinalfish), 206 nucleotides long. RefSeq lists it as uncharacterized. The record is from RefSeq and is a predicted model, not a curated record. Lineage: Eukaryota; Metazoa; Chordata; Actinopteri; Kurtiformes; Apogonidae. The transcript is spliced from 3 exons.
AUAAGGGGUCAUGUGGUCUGUUGAGUCCUGACUGACCUUGUUCCAGAGUGAUGGAUGCAUCAGGGUGAGAAGAGAGAUGGAUGACGGGAUUACCCAUCAUGCCUAGUGCCUACAGUACAAGCCCGUGGGUGCAGUGUUAUGGUCUGGGGCUGGUUUAGUUGGGCAGGUCUAGGUUCAACAGUGUUAUGACCAUAAAAUGACAGAAA